AGCCGUCUAAAAGAAAUUUGCUGUUCCAACUUUAUUGAUGUCAGACAAUUCCAUGAUGGAAGUUGAAGCUACUAUUCCUGCUGUUCCUAUUACAUCUGAAGCGGUUUCAGAAUCUACUUCACCAGAUGUAAUUGCUAUUCCAUCAACAUCCAAGGAAGUUACAUCUGAAGCUGUUUCGGAAUCUACUUCACCAGAUGUAAUCGCUAUUCCAUCAACAUCCAAAGGAAGUUACAUCUGAAGAUUUUUCACAACAGACACCUACAUCCCUUAGUGUGGAUAGUCCAAGAAAACAUGGGUUAAGGUUACAAAUU
Molecule: long non-coding RNA, 311 nt
Organism: Sitophilus oryzae (rice weevil)
Lineage: Eukaryota; Metazoa; Arthropoda; Insecta; Coleoptera; Curculionidae
Exons: 5
Source: RefSeq, a predicted model, not a curated record